AAAGAUUAAGCCAUGCAUGUCUAAGUAUAAGCAACUAUACAGUGAAACUGCGAAUGGCUCAUUAAAUCAGUUAUCGUUUAUUUGAUAGUACCUUACUACUUGGAUAACCGUGGUAAUUCUAGAGCUAAUACAUGCUAAAAAUCCCGACCUCCGGAAGGGAUGUAUUUAUUAGAUAAAAAACCAAUGCCUUCGGGCUCCUUGGUGAUUCAUGAUAACUUAACGAAUCGCAUGGCCUUGCGCUGGCGAUGGUUCAUUCAAAUUUCUGCCCUAUCAACUUUCGAUGGUAGGAUAGUGGCCUACCAUGGUUUCUACGGGUAACGGGGAAUUAGGGUUCGAUUCCGGAGAGGGAGCCUGAGAAACGGCUACCACAUCCAAGGAAGGCAGCAGGCGCGCAAAUUACCCAAUCCCGAUUCGGGGAGGUAGUGACAAUAAAUACUGAUACAGGGCUCUUUUGGGUCUUGUAAUUGGAAUGAGUACAAUUUAAAUCCCUUAACGAGGAACAAUUGGAGG
This 510-nucleotide ribosomal RNA is filed under the name Orbilia sp. RNAcentral's name for it is "SSU rRNA". It matches the Rfam family "Eukaryotic small subunit ribosomal RNA", at positions 39 to 554 of the family's 1831-position model. The record is from RNAcentral. Lineage: Eukaryota; Fungi; Ascomycota; Orbiliomycetes; Orbiliales; Orbiliaceae.